RNAcentral lists this ribosomal RNA (315 nucleotides) under Bathysciola georgii. RNAcentral describes it as "partial 16S ribosomal RNA". Lineage: Eukaryota; Metazoa; Arthropoda; Insecta; Coleoptera; Leiodidae. The record is from RNAcentral.
ACUGUACAAAGGUAGCAUAAUAAUUAGUUUCUUAAUUAGGAACUGGAAUGAAUGAUUGAACGAGAUAAUAACUGUCUCAAUUUUAUUUAAAGAAUUUUAUUUUUAAGUAAAAAAGCUUAAAUUUUUUUAAAAGACGAGAAGACCCUAUAGAAUUUUAUAAAAUUUAUUUUUUAAGGAUUAUAGUAUAUAUUAUUUUUGUAUUAAUAAAUUUAUUUGGUUGGGGUGAUUGAAAAAUUUAUUUAACUUUUUUUAGUAAUUUUAUAUUUAUAUAUAUAUAUAUUGAUCCAAUAUUUUUGAUUAUAAGAUUAAGUUACC